This 305-nucleotide ribosomal RNA is filed under the name uncultured bacterium. Its description in RNAcentral is "bacterial SSU rRNA". It matches the Rfam family "Bacterial small subunit ribosomal RNA", at positions 337 to 659 of the family's 1533-position model. The record is from RNAcentral.
UCCUACGGGGCGCAGCAGUCGGGAAUAUUGCGCAAUGGAGGAAACUCUGACGCAGUGACGCCGCGUAUAGGAAGAAGUAUUUCGGUAUGUAAAGCUCUAUCAGCAGGGAAGAAAAUGACGGUACCUGACUAAGAAGCCCCGGCUAACUACGUGCCAGCAGCCGCGGUAAUACGUAGGGGGCAAGCGUUAUCCGGAUUUACUGGGUGUAAAGGGAGCGUAGACGGCGCGGCAAGUCUGAAGUGAAAGGCAGGGGCUUAACCCCUGAACUGCUUUGGAAACUGCCAUGCUAGAGUGCUGGAGAGGGA